AUUGAACGCUGGCGGAAUGCUUUACACAUGCAAGUCGAACGGUAGAGGGGGCAACCCCUCGAGAGUGGCGAACGGGUGAGUAAUAUAUCGGAACGUGCCCAGUCGUGGGGGAUAACGUAGCGAAAGUUACGCUAAUACCGCAUACGAUCUAAGGAUGAAAGCGGGGGAUCGCAAGACCUCGCGCGAUUGGAGCGGCCGAUAUCAGAUUAGGUAGUUGGGGGGGUAAAGGCUCACCAAGCCAACGAUCUGUAGCUGGUCUGAGAGGACGACCAGACACACUGGAACUGAGACACGGUCCAGAGUCCUACGGGAGGCAGCAGUGGGGAAUUUUGGACAAUGUACGCAAGUCUGAUCCAGCCAUUCCGCGUGCAGGAUGAAGGCCCUCGGGUUGUAAACUGCUUUUGUACGGAACGAAAAGGUCUCUCUUAAUACGGGGGGCUCAUGACGGUACCGUAAGAAUAAGCACCGGCUAACUACGUGCCAGCAGCCGCCGUAA
RNAcentral lists this ribosomal RNA (496 nucleotides) under uncultured bacterium. Its description in RNAcentral is "partial 16S ribosomal RNA". It matches the Rfam family "Bacterial small subunit ribosomal RNA", at positions 30 to 523 of the family's 1533-position model. The record is from RNAcentral.